GACGAACGCUGGCGGCGUGCUUAACACAUGCGAGUCGAACGGAAAGGCCCUGCUUUUGUGGGGUGCUCGAGUAGCGAACGGGUGAGUAACACGUGAGUAACCUGCCCUUGACUUUGGGAUAACUUCAGGAAACUGGGGCUAAUACCGGAUAGGAGCUCCUGCUGCAUGGUGGGGGUUGGAAAGUUUCGGCGGUUGGGGAUGGACUCGCGGCUUAUCAGCUUGUUGGUGGGGUAGUGGCUUACCAAGGCUUUGACGGGUAGCCGGCCUGAGAGGGUGACCGGCCACAUUGGGACUGAGAUACGGCCCAGACUCCUACGGGAGGCAGCAGUGGGGAAUAUUGCACAAUGGGCGGAAGCCUGAUGCAGCAACGCCGCGUGCGGGAUGACGGCCUUCGGGUUGUAAACCGCUUUCGCCUGUGACGAAGCGUGAGUGACGGUAAUGGGUAAAGAAGCACCGGCUAACUACGUG
This 468-nucleotide ribosomal RNA is filed under the name uncultured bacterium. RNAcentral describes it as "partial 16S ribosomal RNA". It matches the Rfam family "Bacterial small subunit ribosomal RNA", at positions 28 to 507 of the family's 1533-position model. The record is from RNAcentral.